GGCGACCGCUAUUGGAGUUCGAUUAAGACAUGCGAGUCAGAGCACUAGCUCGGCAUACCGCUCAGUAACACGCGGGUAACCUGCCCUAUUGUUUCGAAUAACCUCGGGAAACUGAGAACAACACGAUAUAGUCCACUACGCCUGGAACGGUGAGUGGAUAAAGAUAGGAUGGGCCUGCGGCGUAUCAGGUCGUAGGGGGUGUAAAGGACCUCCUAGCCAUCGACGCGUACGGGUGUUGGGAGACAUAGCCCGGAGAUGGAUUCUGAGACACGAAUCCAGGCCCUACGGGGCGCAGCAGUUACGAAAACUUGGCAAUGCGGGAAACCGUGACCAGGGAACUCCAAGUGGCUGUCCUUUUGGGCAGUCUUUUCUUGACUCUAAAACGGUCUUGGAAUAAGGGGUGGGUAAGGACGGUGCCAGCCGCCGCGGUAAUACCGGCGCCUCAAGUGGUCGUCGCUUUUAUUGGGCCUAAAACGUCCGUAGCCGGUUUGGUACAUUCGUGGGUAAAUCAGCUCGCUCAACGAGCUGAAUUCUGCGAGCACGGCCAGACUAGGGACCGGGAGAGGUGUGGGGAACUCUCAGGGUAGGGGUAAAAUCCUGUCAUCCUGAGAGGACCACCUGUUGCGAAGGUGCCACACUAGAACGGAUCCGACGGUCAGGGACGAAGCCUAGGGGCACGAACCGGAUUAGAUACCCGGGUAGUCCUAGGUGUAAACGCUGUGGACUUGGUGUUGGGGGCGCUCCGAGCGCUCUCAGUGCCGUAGCGAAGGUGUUGAGUCCACUGCCUGGGGAGUACGGUCGCAAGGCUGAAACUUAAAGGAAUUGGCGGGGGAGCACUGCAACCGGAGGAUUGUGCGGUUU
Molecule: ribosomal RNA, 861 nt
Filed under: uncultured archaeon
Lineage: Archaea
Description: bacterial SSU rRNA
Rfam family: Archaeal small subunit ribosomal RNA
Source: RNAcentral